Molecule: ribosomal RNA, 847 nt
Filed under: Staphylococcus epidermidis
Lineage: Bacteria; Bacillati; Bacillota; Bacilli; Caryophanales; Staphylococcaceae
Description: bacterial SSU rRNA
Rfam family: Bacterial small subunit ribosomal RNA
Source: RNAcentral
CUGCAAGUCGAGCGAACAGACGAGGAGCUUGCUCCUCUGACGUUAGCGGCGGACGGGUGAGUAACACGUGGAUAACCUACCUAUAAGACUGGGAUAACUUCGGGAAACCGGAGCUAAUACCGGAUAACAUGUUGAACCGCAUGGUUCAACAGUGAAAGACGGUCUUGCUGUCACUUAUAGAUGGAUCCGCGCCGCAUUAGCUAGUUGGUAAGGUAACGGCUUACCAAGGCAACGAUGCGUAGCCGACCUGAGAGGGUGAUCGGCCACACUGGAACUGAGACACGGUCCAGACUCCUACGGGAGGCAGCAGUAGGGAAUCUUCCGCAAUGGGCGAAAGCCUGACGGAGCAACGCCGCGUGAGUGAAGAAGGUCUUCGGAUCGUAAAACUCUGUUAUUAGGGAAGAACAAAUGUGUAAGUAACUAUGCACGUCUUGACGGUACCUAAUCAGAAAGCCACGGCUAACUACGUGCCAGCAGCCGCGGUAAUACGUAGGUGGCAAGCGUUAUCCGGAAUUAUUGGGCGUAAAGCGCGCGUAGGCGGUUUUUUAAGUCUGAUGUGAAAGCCCACGGCUCAACCGUGGAGGGUCAUUGGAAACUGGAAAACUUGAGUGCAGAAGAGGAAAGUGGAAUUCCAUGUGUAGCGGUGAAAUGCGCAGAGAUAUGGAGGAACACCAGUGGCGAAGGCGACUUUCUGGUCUGUAACUGACGCUGAUGUGCGAAAGCGUGGGGAUCAAACAGGAUUAGAUACCCUGGUAGUCCACGCCGUAAACGAUGAGUGCUAAGUGUUAGGGGGUUUCCGCCCCUUAGUGCUGCAGCUAACGCAUUAAGCACUCCGCCUGGGGAGUAC